RNAcentral lists this ribosomal RNA (276 nucleotides) under Triticum aestivum (bread wheat). RNAcentral's name for it is "partial small subunit ribosomal RNA". The record is from RNAcentral. Lineage: Eukaryota; Viridiplantae; Streptophyta; Magnoliopsida; Poales; Poaceae.
CUUUGCUUUUCGAAAAAUGAAGGAGGUAUGGGAUUCCGGGAUUUACACUCAUUUAACUUGGCCAUGUUAGCUAAACAAGCAUGGAGGUUGAUCACCUAACCGGUUUAGUUGUGCGCUCAAGUUCUUCGGGCAAAGUAUUACCCGAAUAGGAACGUUCUCAAAGCGGGACCCAAAGGAUGUUCUUCUUUUACUUGUUACUUGGCAAAGCCUUCGGGCUGGGAUUCAAACGUUCAGAAGAGGAUGCAUAUGGCUAACAGGAGAUGGACAAAAUGUUAA